UGUAAGCGUAUACCAAAGUUGUUGCAGUUAAAACGCUCGUAGUCGGAAUUUGGCAGUUCCGGAAGUGUGCACGUCGUGUGCGCACUUUGCGGGGACUGCUUUUGUGGUCUUGCGUAGGAUGAGGCACUUUCAUUAGUGAACGUCCUCACGCAACCACUCUUUACUGUGAGAAAAUCAGAGUGCUCAAAGCAGGCAUUUGCCGUGAAUGUAUUAGCAUGGAAUAAUAGAAUAGGACUCGGUUCUAUUCUGUUGGUUUGUUGGGACUGAGUAAUGAUUAAGAGGGACAGUUGGGGGCAUUUGUAUUCCGGCGCUAGAGGUGAAAUUCUUAGAUUGCCGGAAGACAAACUGCUGCGAAAGCGUCUGCCAAGGAUGUUUUCAUUGA
This 382-nucleotide ribosomal RNA is filed under the name uncultured eukaryote. RNAcentral describes it as "partial 18S ribosomal RNA". It matches the Rfam family "Eukaryotic small subunit ribosomal RNA", at positions 592 to 976 of the family's 1831-position model. The record is from RNAcentral.